AAGACACUAGUAAAGCUGAGUAUUACCCCGCCUUGUCAAGGCGUAUUCGUGGGUUCGACCCCCACGUGUCUUA
RNAcentral lists this transfer RNA (73 nucleotides) under Epinephelus lanceolatus (giant grouper). RNAcentral describes it as "tRNA-Asp". It matches the Rfam family "tRNA". From Rfam's summary of the family: Transfer RNA (tRNA) molecules are approximately 80 nucleotides in length. Their secondary structure includes four short double-helical elements and three loops (D, anti-codon, and T loops). RNAcentral also lists the same sequence under 3 other names. The record is from RNAcentral. Lineage: Eukaryota; Metazoa; Chordata; Actinopteri; Perciformes; Serranidae.